GGGUAAUGUCUCCUGCACCCAUAUCACUGGAGAUACUCGGUCAUGCUGUGGGCUAUGUAAGUAGCCUUAGACGUUUAUCGUCAAGGGUAUGAUGGUGAGGACGGGUUAAAUGCCCG
Regulatory RNA element from Paenibacillus sp., 116 nucleotides. It matches the Rfam family "epsC RNA". NCBI's taxonomy places the organism in Bacteria, Bacillati, Bacillota, Bacilli, Caryophanales, Paenibacillaceae. The record is from Rfam.